UCAUCAUCGACAAUGUCCUCCUCUGCUGCUACUGUUGCUCAAACAGCGUCUCCUCUUCAACCUUCGACGAUCUCUGCCUUGGUUUGACUUCUCAGGUGGUUGUUGGCCGGAUCCUCCGCUUUUGGGAUUCAAGGAACAUCAAGAAAAAUGUUGAAUUUGUAGGUAUCACCAUCUUCAUGAAAAGGUGUAAAACCUCGACUGAUGGAGUCUAAAAUCGAGACGCUGAAUCUCACUCUGGUGAAUUUGUUUCAUUUGUCAAGAAAACGAGCCGUGACGACGACUGAACAUGUGAAUCGUUUGGUAUCACCGGAUAGAGGCAGAUCAAAGAAUGCAGCUCGGCCAUCUACAUCUCAAGAGACUUGCGGUAGACUAGAUGUUAAAGGCAUGGACCUACAAAGAACUUCUUCUAGAGAACUAGGAAACUCAUUGCAGGUUGUGAUAGGUAUGUCAAUUUUCUCUUUACCAAGUAUGAAGGAAGUUGGUAUUUCCUUUGUUUUAAGUAUGGUAGAAGGUUCAUGGAUAUAUAAUAUAUAUAUGUCCUUUGUAGGU
Long non-coding RNA from Brassica oleracea var. oleracea, 549 nucleotides. RefSeq lists it as uncharacterized. Lineage: Eukaryota; Viridiplantae; Streptophyta; Magnoliopsida; Brassicales; Brassicaceae. The transcript has 3 exons. The record is from RefSeq and is a predicted model, not a curated record.